CCUACGGGGUGCAGCAGUGGGGAAUAUUGCGCAAUGGGCGAAAGCCUGACGCAGCGACGCCGCGUGAGGGAUGAAGGUCUUCGGAUCGUAAACCUCUGUCAGCAGGGAAGAACGGUCACUGUGCUAAUCAGCAGUGAAUUGACGGUACCUGCAAAGGAAGCACCGGCUAACUCCGUGCCAGCAGCCGCGGUAAUACGGAGGGUGCGAGCGUUAAUCGGAAUUACUGGGCGUAAAGCGCUCGUAGGCGGUAUGUCAAGUCAAGGGUGAAAUCCCCGCGCUCAACGUGGGAACUGCCUUUGAAACUGGCAAACUGGAGUGUGUGAGAGGAUAGUGGAAUUGCAGGUGUAGGAGUGAAAGCCGUAGAUAUCUGGAGGAACAUCAGUGGCGAAGGCGACUAUCUGGCACAUAACUGACGCUGAGGAGCGAAAGCGUGGGUAGCAAACAGGAUUAGAUACCCCAGUAGUC
This 465-nucleotide ribosomal RNA is filed under the name uncultured bacterium. Its description in RNAcentral is "partial 16S ribosomal RNA". It matches the Rfam family "Bacterial small subunit ribosomal RNA", at positions 338 to 795 of the family's 1533-position model. The record is from RNAcentral.